UGUCUAGUAUAAGCAUCUAUACAGUGAAACUGCGAAUGGCUCAUUAAAUCAGUUAUCGUUUAUUUGAUAGUACCUUACUACUUGGAUAACCGUGGUAAUUCUAGAGCUAAUACAUGCUAAAAACCUCGACUUCGGAAGGGGUGUAUUUAUUAGAUAAAAAACCAAUGCCCUUCGGGGCUCCUUGGUGAUUCAUGAUAACUUAACGAAUCGCAUGGCCUUGUGCCGGCGAUGGUUCAUUCAAAUUUCUGCCCUAUCAACUUUCGAUGGUAGGAUAGUGGCCUACCAUGGUUUCAACGGGUAACGGGGAAUUAGGGUUCUAUUCCGGAGAGGGAGCCUGAGAAACGGCUACCACAUCCAAGGAAGGCAGCAGGCGCGCAAAUUACCCAAUCCCGACACGGGGAGGUAGUGACAAUAAAUACUGAUACAGGGCUCUUUUGGGUCUUGUAAUUGGAAUGAGUACAAUUUAAAUCCCUUAACGAGGAACAAUUGGAGGGCAAGUCUGGUGCCAGCAGCCGCGGUAAUUCCAGCUCCAAUAGCGUAUAUUAAAGUUGUUGCAGUUAAAAAGCUCGUAGUUGAACCUUGGGCCUGGUUGGUCGGUCCGCCUCGCGGCGUGCACUGAUCCGACCGGGCCUUUCCUUCUGGGGAACCGCAUGCCCUUCAUUGGGUGUGUUGGGGAUCCAGGACUUUUACUUUGAAAAAAUUAGAGUGUUCAAAGCAGGCAUAUGCUCGAAUACAUUAGCAUGGAAUAAUAGAAUAGGACGUGUGGUUCUAUUUUGUUGGUUUCUAGGACCGCCGUAAUGAUUAAUAGGGAUAGUCGGGGGCAUCAGUAUUCCGUUGUCAGAGGUGAAAUUCUUGGAUUUACGGAAGACUAACUACUGCGAAAGCAUUUGCCAAGGAUGUUUUCAUUAAUCAGUGAACGAAAGUUAGGGGAUCGAAGACGAUCAGAUACCGUCGUAGUCUUAACCAUAAACUAUGCCGACUAGGGAUCGGGCGAUGUUA
This 999-nucleotide ribosomal RNA is filed under the name Thelebolus sp. RNAcentral's name for it is "SSU rRNA". It matches the Rfam family "Eukaryotic small subunit ribosomal RNA", at positions 56 to 1065 of the family's 1831-position model. Lineage: Eukaryota; Fungi; Ascomycota; Leotiomycetes; Thelebolales; Thelebolaceae. The record is from RNAcentral.